GGGAGUUGGGAAGGAACCAGUGGGAAGAAGACUAAAUUGGCUGGAGGAAAUUCAAAUCGUGCAGUUUGCCAGGUAGAGGACUGUGGAGCAGAUCUGAGCAAUGCAAAAGAUUAUCACAGACGACAUAAAGUCUGCGAAACACAUUCUAAGGCGAGUAAUGCACUUGUUGCAAAUGUUAUGCAGCGAUUCUGUCAACAAUGUAGCAGGUUCCAUGUUCUUCAAGAGUUUGACGAAGGGAAACGAAGUUGUCGCAGGCGUUUGGCUGGCCAUAAUAAGCGCAGAAGAAAAGUUAAUCCAGAUAAUGUUGUUAAUGGAAACUCCCCACCUGAUGAGCAGACUAGUAGUUAUCUACUGUUAACACUAUUGCGAAUACUUGCAAAUUUACACUCCAAUGGAUCAAAUCAGACCACAGAUCAGGAUCUUCUUUCUCAUCUUAUACGAAGUCUUGCCUGCCAAUCUAGUGAGCAUG
This 469-nucleotide unclassified non-coding RNA is filed under the name Hevea brasiliensis (rubber tree). The record is from RNAcentral. Lineage: Eukaryota; Viridiplantae; Streptophyta; Magnoliopsida; Malpighiales; Euphorbiaceae.